RNAcentral lists this small nucleolar RNA (132 nucleotides) under Leptosomus discolor (cuckoo roller). Lineage: Eukaryota; Metazoa; Chordata; Aves; Leptosomiformes; Leptosomidae. The record is from RNAcentral.
AGGUCCAUUCUAAUUCCCUGCAGGUCAGUGCCAGUACCUGCUGGGAUUCGCUUGUGGACCACAUUAAACUGGAAAACUUAAGCAUGCAUGAGCUUACCAGUAGUCUGCUCUGACAUAGUUUUCUGGACAUGU